UUCUGUCUGCAAACAACUUCAAGAAUGUGUAAGUCAAUGACUCUCACAUUUCAGACUAAGAAGAGCUUUGUUUCGAAUCUGUCAGCUCAUUAACGUUGAAGCCAAAUUUAAAAAACAAACAAAAACAAAAAAAACAGUAAUUGUUUGGUGACAGUCAUGGAUGACAUGAUUGGAAUCUUUGUUUGUGCCAUCGUCGCGUUGUUGCUUUUCAAGUUAAUUUACAUGGCGGAAAACAAUUAACAACUUAACAAAUAAAAGCAUUUGAAGAGGUAGCCCAAAAGUGAACGCCGACUGUUGUUUUCCUAACGCCGUUCUACGUUGUUUGAAAAAAUCAAAGCUCUUUUCUAUAUUUAAACAGCAAAACUCUAAAAUUAAAAGGGCAACUAAUGUAAGAUGGAAACCCGUUGGAUUGCGGAUUUGGUUGUUGCGGAAGGGACAAGAAAACGAUUAUAAUGUGACGCGAUCAUCACAACAACAUCGCACUUUGAAUGCCAACGUUCUUCCAAUUUUCUCAUCAUUUUCUUCCAUGUUAUUUGACUUGAAUUUGCAAACUGUUUUGACUUGGUAAAACACGGUACAGGGGCAUUUCUACCUUA
This 596-nucleotide long non-coding RNA is filed under the name Daphnia magna. Its description in RNAcentral is "uncharacterized LOC116918194, transcript variant X2". The record is from RNAcentral. Lineage: Eukaryota; Metazoa; Arthropoda; Branchiopoda; Diplostraca; Daphniidae.